GGCGGGGGCGGCCCGGUCGGGGCCGGCCGGUACGGGACCGGCCGGGGCGGGCGGCGCCGUGCCCGCGGGUGCUCCGGUCAUCCCUUGGCCCC
This 92-nucleotide transfer RNA is filed under the name Streptomyces roseochromogenus. RNAcentral describes it as "tRNA-Pro". The record is from RNAcentral. Lineage: Bacteria; Bacillati; Actinomycetota; Actinomycetes; Kitasatosporales; Streptomycetaceae.